This is a long non-coding RNA of Mytilus californianus (California mussel), 1549 nucleotides long. RefSeq lists it as uncharacterized. Lineage: Eukaryota; Metazoa; Mollusca; Bivalvia; Mytilida; Mytilidae. The transcript is spliced from 4 exons. The record is from RefSeq and is a predicted model, not a curated record.
UUGUAGAAAGUGUGGUUUAAGAUAUAUUUUUCAACCAAAUUGUAAAACUUGCAUAACAUCAAUUUUCAAACAAUAUUUCUAAAGAAAGCAGGGUAAGUUAUGGUUUCUUUAAAAAGGUAAAAGAAUUUUAUUUAAUGGAAUGUGUUAAUAUAACAAAGAAUGUUUGAAACAUAAAAAAAAAAGAGUAAAAAGCAAGUACUGGUUAGUUUUUAUAUCUGGAUUUAUAUUAAAAUAUUGAUAACCCAUAACAGCAUUUUAAAUUAUCUUUAAUGAGAAAACAGAAAACUGAAAAAAAAAAAAGUAAACAAGGGGAUAAAAAAAAAUCUUCCUUAAAACAGGUCACAACAAUGUCAAUUUAAGAAAACAGAAAACAGCUAAUUAGUCAUGAACAGUUAACAGCACAUUAUCUUUACCAGUUAACAUAAGUUUAAAAAUGCUCAGAACACCUAAACAAAAAGAUCCUGCACCUUUCUCAAAAAUCAAAUUUAAACAAAAUAGACUCAACUUUGCUCAUAUAUGAAAUAUUCACCAAAUAUAUGCUAGGUAUAUUAUCUAUCAAUUACACAUAUGUUCUGCUUAAAUCUUGAAUAUUUGCCACUGUUAACUAAAAUAUAAAGGCACAGAACCAGGAUUGUUUUACCUAAUCACCAGCACAUCGUCAGGACAAUUUCGUUUGGCGAAUUUGCACGACUUUUGCAGUAGAAAAUUGUUGUACUAUUCCUCGCAUGGUACUUAGGGCGUAUUUGAGAAAAAUUAAGCAACAUAACGGUUGUUUUAUUGCCGUUCUGAUAUAAUGUAAACAAACCCACAUGCAUAGAAUCAGGACCCACCAGCACCAGUCAGGACCAAAUAAACAGCACAGAACGUUCUUUCGCAGGUAAACCUUACCCACCGUACAUUAGCUCAUACAGACUUAUAAUAUAACUGUUGUUAUUAUAACUCUUAAAAGAAUGUCAGAUUUUUAUUGGCUAAUACGAAGGAGACAAUUUACAUAUAUUCCAUAGAUGAGUGGGAGAGAAUAGUCAUGGUGAUCAAAUCUACUUACAUUGCAUCUUGGGCAGUAUUUAUUAGCUGCUGAAAUGGUUGCAACAAUAUGACAACAUAUUAAAGUCUGCAAUGAUAAGAGUUGAGACUUGACUUGAUAAAGCAUUUUCCCUCUCUUUGGCAUCAAAACCUUCGACUCCAUCACUAAAAGUAAAAUGUUCCAUCAAAGACUGUACAUCACUGGUAUUAAACUGAUAACCCUAACUGGAAUUACGACCAUCCCAAUAUGGCGACGGCAGAUAUGGUUGCUGUUGAAUGUACUGCCAUAAUUGGUGUUCUAAUCUUGCAAAAAGAAAAACAAGAAAAUGUUAUAUGCUUCAAACAAUCAACCAGGCCAGAUUCAGCCGUUAUUAUUUAGGAAUGAAGAAAAAUAUAUUUUCAUAUCAAAGGUAAAGGAUUGCUCGGAUGUGUCUCCAUCGAUCAAAAGCAUGCUUCAUCUGCAAACCUAAAUGAAGACUUGGUAUUAGCAAAGUGGCAAUCUAUUUCCAACGUUCGUCCGCUUAAA